Molecule: ribosomal RNA, 253 nt
Filed under: uncultured bacterium
Lineage: Bacteria
Description: partial 16S ribosomal RNA
Rfam family: Bacterial small subunit ribosomal RNA
Source: RNAcentral
GACGUAGGGACCGAGCGUUGUCCGGAUUUAUUGGGCGUAAAGCGCGCGCAGGCGGCCGUGCAAGUCGGAUGUGAAAAUCCGGAGCUCAACUCCGGACCUGCAUUCGAAACUGCACGGCUAGAGGCAGGUAGGGGAGAGGGGAAUUCCCGGUGUAGCGGUGAAAUGCGCAGAUAUCGGGAGGAACACCGGUGGCGAAGGCGCCUCUCUGGGCCUGUCCUGACGCUCAGGCGCGAAAGCUAGGGGAGCAAACAGG